Molecule: ribosomal RNA, 180 nt
Filed under: uncultured soil bacterium
Lineage: Bacteria
Description: partial 16S ribosomal RNA
Rfam family: Bacterial small subunit ribosomal RNA
Source: RNAcentral
AGGAUGAACGCUGGCGGCGUGCUUAACACAUGCAAGUCGAACGAUGAAGGCUGGAGCUUGCUCUGGCUGGAUUAGUGGCGAACGGGUGAGUAACACGUGAGUAACCUGCCCCAGACUCUGGGAUAAGCGCUGGAAACGGCGUCUAAUACCGGAUACGAGCUUCCACCGCAUGGUGAGGAG